Molecule: ribosomal RNA, 253 nt
Filed under: uncultured bacterium
Lineage: Bacteria
Description: partial 16S ribosomal RNA
Rfam family: Bacterial small subunit ribosomal RNA
Source: RNAcentral
UACAGAGGUCUCAAGCGUUGUUCGGAUUCAUUGGGCGUAAAGGGUGCGUAGGCGGCGCGGUAAGUCGGGUGUGAAAUUUCGGAGCUUAACUCCGAAACUGCAUUCGAUACUGCGGUGCUCGAGGACUGGAGAGGAGACUGGAAUUCAUGGUGUAGCAGUGAAAUGCGUAGAGAUCAUGAGGAAGACCAGUGGCGAAGGCGGGUCUCUGGACAGUUCCUGACACUGAGGCACGAAGGCCAGGGGAGCAAACGGG